ACCCCUAAAAAAAUAGAUGCUGCAGAUUUCAAGUGUCAAAAAGGUUCCUGGUUAUGAUCGUUAUUUUUUAGGUCUGUAUACGUAGGGCAUUGGGCACGUGUCCGCCUCUCUCAAGACAAGGGGAAAUGACAUGAUCGAGCUUAGGAUUUGAGGGUAGCAAAGACUGAUCAUAAAGGAGGUUAGAGGGGCUAGGAACCCUAGAGAAAGAGAGAAGAGGAAGGAUGGAAAGACUACAGAGGGGAAUUAAAGGAUCGAAGAUCACUUUAAGUUAAAAACUGGAAAUGGAUGACAGAGGAGCUAAAAAGAUUGAUAAAUUAAAAAAUAAGUAUUGGUGUAGGAUAGGAUAGACCCACAGGGCGAAGGAAUGGAGAACAUGGUACUCUAUAGCAAUGUCAUGGUGCUACCUACACAUGUAUUAAUAGUUGUAUAAUCACACUCUGUCCUGCCUGGGGGUUGGGAUGGCAUGUUCCUCCCUUCUCCCUUGUUGUUUACCUGCAACAAUAAACUAUCAAUCAAUCAAUCAAUCAUACUACGCGUCCCCCAUCACUGUGUAUGUGCUGAGUGAUGCGCCGCAGCGGCCGUGGGUGUGCCCAGUUCAUCCAAAACCGACGACUUCACACACGUCACGGCGCGGCUUAUGUUCGGAGGCGAAUUUGAUCAUAUGUAGAUGUUUACCUCGUGACGUACCCUACACCAUCCGAAUCAGAAAAGCAUGCAGAUUUAAGAUCUGUGCUUGUAAAAGUGAUGCAACGAAAACCAGCUGAGUACUAAGGAGCUGAAGGAAAAUUUGUGCAAAAAAAUGUGUAUUCCCUACUUCAUUUAACUCUGAUUUUUGUAUAUGUAUCUUUACAUGUUUGUUGCAAUUUUAUGCUGGUGUGAUGCAGAAUUUUCUCAGGAAAAUGAAGGUGAUCUCAGUUUUUCUUAAAAAUGAAUGUUGGGUUCAGGAAACAGGGUGGGAGUGAGGUGUGUGAGGUCGUCGGGUUUAGAUGAACUGGGCACACCCACGGCCGCUGGCCUGUCACUUGCAGGGCCUUGCCGAGCAGUCUAGUAUGUAAGUCUGUGAUCUAUAGUGAUAGAUCCAUAGUAGAAAUACAAGCACGGAUGUGAGAGAUGGAGACAAAAUGUGCCAAACAUACAGAACAAUGGGAAGGCUGCAGAGAUAGACAAAAUCAAUUAAUGGAGAAUUCCUUCAGUAUGGAGACUGCCAAUGAGGUUACAUAUUAUGUGCUAAAGUAUUAGUGGAUGGAGAGUACCCCAUAACUGGAAAAGCAGUAGGAUAACACUGAUACAGGAAAAAGAAAAAAGGCAAGAAUAAUACAGCAAACUAUUGAGACAUAGCACUCAUGAAUAUUAUGGCCAAGUUUUUUGAAAUGCUAAUCAAUAUCAAAAGCCAAGGACAGAAACAUACAAGAUAUUGGGAGGAACAAAGUGGACCUUGGAAAAGUGGAGGACUGGAAAACUUACUGAGAGAGAUUAUUGCAAGGAAUUGAGAGCAGGGGAGGGCGUUUUGUAGAAGAUUUAUAUUUAGAAAAGGCAUAUGCCACAGUAAAAAGUUUGUAAGAUUACUACACUACAUGAGGUUGAUGCAAAUAUAGUGAAAGAGAAAAGUAGUUUACAACUUUACAUGAAGGAAAUAAAUAUUGCAGGCAUAUUAAAUCAUUGCUGCAACUUUGUAAGUCAAUCAAAAUCCCACUCGUGAAUGCCAGUGUUGGAUCAGCUGGCCACUCACAAACCUCACUGUUGUCCUGACGAGGCCUUCAGUCCAGGCAGGAACUGUCACGUCGGGAGUGAUCUUUGCAGAAAAUGGCUUCAAACAAGACUAGGGCAGAGACCUACUGUCAUGCAGGUAACUACCACUUCUUGUAGCACAUGAGAAACUGAUCCACUUGGGAUCCUGCAUUGACAUACCUGACUGGACAAGCACAAUAUACAGUUUCAGGGUAAUGCUUGGUCCACCCCUCAACUUCCCAUAUCAUUGGCAUACACAACACAUAAUGUAGAGGUGACUCCCACCAUCCCUGAAAUCUUCUCAUGAGCUACCUAGCAAAUCAACAUGUGUUCUUGUAGAAAAUUCAUUUAAGAGAGCCCCCAAAAGUUCUAAAAAAUUAAAUUUAAUAGAAAACAUUUAUUUUUGCUCCACUGAAUGACUCUAUCCUUUAACACUCUUAUUAAGUAGUACACACAGCACUGGGUACCCAUAGCAGCUCAAAGAAAGAAAAACCUUGUCACUAGAUGUGUGUAUACCAAGAAACACAAAAAUCAAAGAAAAUUAAGAGUACACCAACACAUACAUAAAAUACUGCACAGCUAUGACAUUUGUAUUAAACUACAUCAAGGGUUUUGAAAUACUAUAAAACAUUGGUAGAAGCUUUGUUAUUACUUAACUGGCAUAGUUUGUUCCCAAGUUACUGGAGUGUUUCAUGCUAUCACAACUAUGAGAUGAGGUAUUUCAAUGGUAUCAAUUCUACUGACAGCAUAUAUACAAUUUUACACUAAAAAUACAAAUAGACUAAGAUUUUUCAAAGUGGUGGAUGAAUCUUCUAUUAAAUGAAUCUCUUGAUGAAUACAGUUGUUAAUAAUUAUUAGCUAUGCAUUGUACUGGUGGGUACUGACCAUUGUCAGUUAACAUACUGUAACCCAAUUUUUAAAAUUUCUGCACCCACAAGGUAUACAAAAUAUCACAGCCAAUGCCAACACUACUUGUGGGUUUGGACUUAGUAUCUUUUUGCCUUUAUCCUCCUUGUCAAUAAGACUGCAUCUGCUGCUAGCAGAAUGUAUGAUAUUAAGAGUGUGUAUCCACAUCUCAACUUAAUGAUAUAUACUUGUAUUGAAUUACCCAUGAAAGUGUCAGUUUACAUAUAUGUUACAUUUUUUUUU
Molecule: long non-coding RNA, 2877 nt
Organism: Eriocheir sinensis (Chinese mitten crab)
Lineage: Eukaryota; Metazoa; Arthropoda; Malacostraca; Decapoda; Varunidae
Exons: 2
Source: RefSeq, a predicted model, not a curated record